CUCCGAGAAUGAUGAUCAUAAUCUUUGGUCCGUGUUUAUGACGGGAAGUAAGACCCCCGAUAUGAGUGACAAAGAAGAAGUAUUUCAUUAUACAACACUGACACUUGGAG
Molecule: small nucleolar RNA, 110 nt
Filed under: Lachancea thermotolerans CBS 6340
Lineage: Eukaryota; Fungi; Ascomycota; Saccharomycetes; Saccharomycetales; Saccharomycetaceae
Description: snR18
Rfam family: Small nucleolar RNA SNORD18
About the family: U18 is a member of the C/D class of snoRNA which contain the C (UGAUGA) and D (CUGA) box motifs.
Source: RNAcentral